This 449-nucleotide ribosomal RNA is filed under the name uncultured bacterium. RNAcentral describes it as "partial 16S ribosomal RNA". It matches the Rfam family "Bacterial small subunit ribosomal RNA", at positions 338 to 795 of the family's 1533-position model. The record is from RNAcentral.
CCUACGGGCGGCUGCAGUGGGGAAUUUUGGACAAUGGGCGCAAGCCUGAUCCAGCCAUUCCGCGUGAGUGAAGAAGGCCUUCGGGUUGUAAAGCUCUUUCGCAAGGGAAGAAAACUUAUCCUCUAACAUAGGAUGAGGUUGACGGUACCUUGAUAAGAAGCACCGGCUAACUACGUGCCAGCAGCCGCGGUAAUACGUAGGGUGGUAGCGUUCGUCGGAAUUGCUGGGCGUAUAUCGUAAGCCAGAUGUGAAAUCCCCGGGCUCAACUUGGGAACUGCGGUUGAAACUACAAGACUAGAAUAGGUCAGAGGGGGGUAGAAUUCCACGUGUAGCAGUGAAAUGCGUAGAGAUGUGGAGGAAUAUCAAUGGCGAAGGCAGCCCCCUGGGAUCAUAUUGACGCUCAUGCACGAAAGCGUGGGGAGCAAACAGGAUUAGAUACCCCUGUAGUC